GACGAACGCUUGCGGCGUGCUUAACACAUGCAAGUCGAACGGAAAGGCCCUGCUUUUGUGGGGUGCUCGAGUGGCGAACGGGUGAGUAACACGUGAGUAACCUGCCCUUGACUUUGGGAUAACUUCAGGAAACUGGGGCUAAUACCGGAUAGGAGCUCCUGCUGCAUGGUGGGGGUUGGAAAGUUUCGGCGGUUGGGGAUGGACUCGCGGCUUAUCAGCUUGUUGGUGGGGUAGUGGCUUACCAAGGCUUUGACGGGUAGCCGGCCUGAGAGGGUGACCGGCCACAUUGGGACUGAGAUACGGCCCAGACUCCUACGGGAGGCAGCAGUGGGGAAUAUUGCACAAUGGGCGGAAGCCUGAUGCAGCAACGCCGCGUGCGGGAUGACGGCCUUCGGGUUGUAAACCGCUUUCGCCUGUGACGAAGCGUGAGUGACGGUAAUGGGUAAAGAAGCACCGGCUAACUACGUGCCAGCAGCCGCGGUGAUACGUAGGGUGCGAGCGUUGUCCGGAUUUAUUGGGCGUAAAGGGCUCGUAGGUGGUCGAUCGCGUCGGAAGUGUAAUCUUGGGGCUUAACCCUGAGCGUGCUUUCGAUACGGGUUGACUUGAGGAAGGUAGGGGAGAAUGGAAUUCCUGGUGGAGCGGUGGAAUGCGCAGAUAUCAGGAGGAACACCAGUGGCGAAGGCGGUUCUCUGGGCCUUUCCUGACGCUGAGGAGCGAAAGCGUGGGGAGCGAACAGGCUUAGAUACCCUGGUAGUCCACGCUGUAAACGGUGGGUACUAGGUGUGGGGUCCAUUCCACGGGUUCCGUGCCGUAGCUAACGCUUUAAGUACCCCGCCUGGGGAGUACGGCCGCAAGGCUAAAACUCAAAGGAAUUGACGGGGCCCCGCACAAGCGGCGGAGCAUGCGGAUUAAUUCGAUGCAACGCGUAGAACCUUACCUGGGUUUGACAUGGAUCGGGAGUGCUCAGAGAUGGGUGUGCCUCUUUUGGGGUCGGUUCACAGGUGGUGCAUGGCUGUCGUCAGCUCGUGUCGUGAGAUGUUGGGUUAAGUCCCGCAACGAGCGCAACCCUUGUUCACUGUUGCCAGCACGUUAUGGUGGGGACUCAGUGGAGACCGCCGGGGUCAACUCGGAGGAAGGUGGGGAUGACGUCAAGUCAUCAUGCCCCUUAUGUCCAGGGCUUCACGCAUGCUACAAUGGCUGGUACAGAGAGUGGCGAGCCUGUGAGGGUGAGCGAAUCUCGGAAAGCCGGUCUCAGUUCGGAUUGGGGUCUGCAACUCGACCUCAUGAAGUCGGAGUCGCUAGUAAUCGCAGAUCAGCAACGCUGCGGUGAAUACGUUCCCGGGGCUUGUACACACCGCCCGUCAAGUCAUGAAAGUUGGUAACACCCGAAGCCGGUGGCCUAACCGUUGUGGGGGAGCCGUCGAAGGUGGGACUGGUGAUUAGGACUAAGUCGUA
RNAcentral lists this ribosomal RNA (1455 nucleotides) under uncultured organism. Its description in RNAcentral is "16S ribosomal RNA". It matches the Rfam family "Bacterial small subunit ribosomal RNA". The record is from RNAcentral.